AGACAUUAAGAAUAAUUAUGUUAAAGAAUAAAUCAGUCAGAUGGCCACAUGGUAAAGCAAUGGCCUUCUAUCUUAGAGGAUCUGGAUUCAAUUUCAGAUCCCACAACUUUAGUUUUUCAAGAAGUGUUUUGUCCAGUCUUCCAGUUGAUCCCAUCACAGCUGUUGGACAGCCAGGGAUUGGCACUAAAAGUAGCCACUGCCAGAUAAAGUAUAUUCCAUGUACAAUACAGUGGCUUAAUUAAACUAACCUAACCUAACUUAAUCCGACCCAGACCCAAAAAUAACUUAUUAAAUCAUAACAAAUAACAUAUAAAACCUGUUUUGUAUUAUUUGGUAUGUUAUAUGUCCAGUUUUAGGUAAGCAUAACACCUUAUGAGCUCUAUUAGACUUUUCUGAUACCUUAGGACAGUAGUUUCCAAACUUUGUGUUAAAAAUUGGUAUGCCCCUCAUUUUCAUAACAGUC
This 463-nucleotide long non-coding RNA is filed under the name Androctonus crassicauda. The record is from RNAcentral. Lineage: Eukaryota; Metazoa; Arthropoda; Arachnida; Scorpiones; Buthidae.